AGAGUUUGAUCAUGGCUCAGAUUGAACGCUGGCGGCAGGCCUAACACAUGCAAGUCGAGCGGUAGCACAGAGAGCUUGCUCUCGGGUGACGAGCGGCGGACGGGUGAGUAAUGUCUGGGAAACUGCCUGAUGGAGGGGGAUAACUACUGGAAACGGUAGCUAAUACCGCAUAACGUCGCAAGACCAAAGUGGGGGACCUUCGGGCCUCAUGCCAUCAGAUGUGCCCAGAUGGGAUUAGCUAGUAGGUGGGGUAACGGCUCACCUAGGCGACGAUCCCUAGCUGGUCUGAGAGGAUGACCAGCCACACUGGAACUGAGACACGGUCCAGACUCCUACGGGAGGCAGCAGUGGGGAAUAUUGCACAAUGGGCGCAAGCCUGAUGCAGCCAUGCCGCGUGUGUGAAGAAGGCCUUCGGGUUGUAAAGCACUUUCAGCGGGGAGGAAGGCGGUGAGGUUAAUAACCUCAUCGAUUGACGUUACCCGCAGAAGAAGCACCGGCUAACUCCGUGCCAGCAGCCGCGGUAAUACGGAGGGUGCAAGCGUUAAUCGGAAUUACUGGGCGUAAAGCGCACGCAGGCGGUCUGUCAAGUCGGAUGUGAAAUCCCCGGGCUCAACCUGGGAACUGCAUUCGAAACUGGCAGGCUAGAGUCUUGUAGAGGGGGGGAGAAUUCCAGGUGUAGCGGUGAAAUGCGUAGAGAUCUGGAGGAAUACCGGUGGCGAAGGCGGCCCCCUGGACAAAGACUGACGCUCAGGUGCGAAAGCGUGGGGAGCAAACAGGAUUAGAUACCCUGGUAGUCCACGCCGUAAACGAUGUCGAUUUGGAGGUUGUGCCCUUGAGGCGUGGCUUCCGGAGCUAACGCGUUAAAUCGACCGCCUGGGGAGUACGGCCGCAAGGUUAAAACUCAAAUGAAUUGACGGGGGCCCGCACAAGCGGUGGAGCAUGUGGUUUAAUUCGAUGCAACGCGAAGAACCUUACCUGGUCUUGACAUCCACAGAACUUAGCAGAGAUGCUUUGGUGCCUUCGGGAACUGUGAGACAGGUGCUGCAUGGCUGUCGUCAGCUCGUGUUGUGAAAUGUUGGGUUAAGUCCCGCAACGAGCGCAACCCUUAUCCUUUGUUGCCAGCGGUCCGGCCGGGAACUCAAAGGAGACUGCCAGUGAUAAACUGGAGGAAGGUGGGGAUGACGUCAAGUCAUCAUGGCCCUUACGACCAGGGCUACACACGUGCUACAAUGGCAUAUACAAAGAGAAGCGACCUCGCGAGAGCAAGCGGACCUCAUAAAGUAUGUCGUAGUCCGGAUUGGAGUCUGCAACUCGACUCCAUGAAGUCGGAAUCGCUAGUAAUCGUAGAUCAGAAUGCUACGGUGAAUACGUUCCCGGGCCUUGUACACACCGCCCGUCACACCAUGGGAGUGGGUUGCAAAAGAAGUAGGUAGCUUAACCUUCGGGAGGGCGCUUACCACUUUGUGAUUCAUGACUGGGGUGAAGUCGUAACAAGGUAACCGUAGGGGAACCUGCGGUUGGAUCACCU
This 1528-nucleotide ribosomal RNA is filed under the name Klebsiella pneumoniae. Its description in RNAcentral is "bacterial SSU rRNA". It matches the Rfam family "Bacterial small subunit ribosomal RNA". Lineage: Bacteria; Pseudomonadati; Pseudomonadota; Gammaproteobacteria; Enterobacterales; Enterobacteriaceae. The record is from RNAcentral.